UGGGGAAUAUUGGACAAUGGGCGAAAGCCUGAUCCAGCCAUGCCGCGUGUGUGAAGAAGGUCUUCGGAUCGUAAAGCACUUUAAGUUGGGAGGAAGGGCAUUAACCUAAUACGUUAGUGUUUUGACGUUACCGACAGAAUAAGCACCGGCUAACUCUGUGCCAGCAGCCGCGGUAAUACAGAGGGUGCAAGCGUUAAUCGGAAUUACUGGGCGUAAAGCGCGCGUAGGUGGUUUGUUAAGUUGGAUGUGAAAUCCCCGGGCUCAACCUGGGAACUGCAUUCAAAACUGACUGACUAGAGUAUGGUAGAGGGUGGUGGAAUUUCCUGUGUAGCGGUGAAAUGCGUAGAUAUAGGAAGGAACACCAGUGGCGAAGGCGACCACCUGGACUAAUACUGACACUGAGGUGCGAAAGCGUGGGGAGCAAACA
This 427-nucleotide ribosomal RNA is filed under the name uncultured bacterium. RNAcentral describes it as "partial 16S ribosomal RNA". It matches the Rfam family "Bacterial small subunit ribosomal RNA", at positions 355 to 774 of the family's 1533-position model. The record is from RNAcentral.